GUGCCUGUAGUUCAGUUGGUUAGAGCGUCAGAUUGUGGUUUUGAAUGUCGUGGGUUCGAGCCCCACCAGGCACC
RNAcentral lists this transfer RNA (74 nucleotides) under Candidatus Cryptobacteroides caccocaballi. RNAcentral's name for it is "tRNA-His". It matches the Rfam family "tRNA". From Rfam's summary of the family: Transfer RNA (tRNA) molecules are approximately 80 nucleotides in length. Lineage: Bacteria; Pseudomonadati; Bacteroidota; Bacteroidia; Bacteroidales. The record is from RNAcentral.